Molecule: ribosomal RNA, 1528 nt
Filed under: Klebsiella pneumoniae
Lineage: Bacteria; Pseudomonadati; Pseudomonadota; Gammaproteobacteria; Enterobacterales; Enterobacteriaceae
Also listed under: 16 other names
Description: bacterial SSU rRNA
Rfam family: Bacterial small subunit ribosomal RNA
Source: RNAcentral
AGAGUUUGAUCAUGGCUCAGAUUGAACGCUGGCGGCAGGCCUAACACAUGCAAGUCGAGCGGUAGCACAGAGAGCUUGCUCUCGGGUGACGAGCGGCGGACGGGUGAGUAAUGUCUGGGAAACUGCCUGAUGGAGGGGGAUAACUACUGGAAACGGUAGCUAAUACCGCAUAACGUCGCAAGACCAAAGUGGGGGACCUUCGGGCCUCAUGCCAUCAGAUGUGCCCAGAUGGGAUUAGCUAGUAGGUGGGGUAACGGCUCACCUAGGCGACGAUCCCUAGCUGGUCUGAGAGGAUGACCAGCCACACUGGAACUGAGACACGGUCCAGACUCCUACGGGAGGCAGCAGUGGGGAAUAUUGCACAAUGGGCGCAAGCCUGAUGCAGCCAUGCCGCGUGUGUGAAGAAGGCCUUCGGGUUGUAAAGCACUUUCAGCGGGGAGGAAGGCGGUGAGGUUAAUAACCUCAUCGAUUGACGUUACCCGCAGAAGAAGCACCGGCUAACUCCGUGCCAGCAGCCGCGGUAAUACGGAGGGUGCAAGCGUUAAUCGGAAUUACUGGGCGUAAAGCGCACGCAGGCGGUCUGUCAAGUCGGAUGUGAAAUCCCCGGGCUCAACCUGGGAACUGCAUUCGAAACUGGCAGGCUAGAGUCUUGUAGAGGGGGGUAGAAUUCCAGGUGUAGCGGUGAAAUGCGUAGAGAUCUGGAGGAAUACCGGUGGCGAAGGCGGCCCCCUGGACAAAGACUGACGCUCAGGUGCGAAAGCGUGGGGAGCAAACAGGAUUAGAUACCCUGGUAGUCCACGCCGUAAACGAUGUCGAUUUGGAGGUUGUGCCCUUGAGGCGUGGCUUCCGGAGCUAACGCGUUAAAUCGACCGCCUGGGGAGUACGGCCGCAAGGUUAAAACUCAAAUGAAUUGACGGGGGCCCGCACAAGCGGUGGAGCAUGUGGUUUAAUUCGAUGCAACGCGAAGAACCUUACCUGGUCUUGACAUCCACAGAACUUUCCAGAGAUGGAUUGGUGCCUUCGGGAACUGUGAGACAGGUGCUGCAUGGCUGUCGUCAGCUCGUGUUGUGAAAUGUUGGGUUAAGUCCCGCAACGAGCGCAACCCUUAUCCUUUGUUGCCAGCGGUUAGGCCGGGAACUCAAAGGAGACUGCCAGUGAUAAACUGGAGGAAGGUGGGGAUGACGUCAAGUCAUCAUGGCCCUUACGACCAGGGCUACACACGUGCUACAAUGGCAUAUACAAAGAGAAGCGACCUCGCGAGAGCAAGCGGACCUCAUAAAGUAUGUCGUAGUCCGGAUUGGAGUCUGCAACUCGACUCCAUGAAGUCGGAAUCGCUAGUAAUCGUAGAUCAGAAUGCUACGGUGAAUACGUUCCCGGGCCUUGUACACACCGCCCGUCACACCAUGGGAGUGGGUUGCAAAAGAAGUAGGUAGCUUAACCUUCGGGAGGGCGCUUACCACUUUGUGAUUCAUGACUGGGGUGAAGUCGUAACAAGGUAACCGUAGGGGAACCUGCGGUUGGAUCACCU